UACGGAGGGUGCAAGCGUUAAUCGGAAUUACUGGGCGUAAAGCGCGCGUAGGUGGUUUGUUAAGUUGGAUGUGAAAUCCCCGGGCUCAACCUGGGAACUGCAUCCAAAACUGGCAAGCUAGAGUAGGGCAGAGGGUGGUGGAAUUUCCUGUGUAGCGGUGAAAUGCGUAGAGAUCGGGAGGAACACCAGUGGCGAAGGCGGCUACCUGGACCAGCACUGACACUGAGUCACGAAAGCGUGGGGAGCAAACAGG
RNAcentral lists this ribosomal RNA (253 nucleotides) under uncultured bacterium. RNAcentral describes it as "partial 16S ribosomal RNA". It matches the Rfam family "Bacterial small subunit ribosomal RNA", at positions 524 to 776 of the family's 1533-position model. The record is from RNAcentral.